Molecule: long non-coding RNA, 604 nt
Organism: Oreochromis niloticus (Nile tilapia)
Lineage: Eukaryota; Metazoa; Chordata; Actinopteri; Cichliformes; Cichlidae
Exons: 5
Source: RefSeq, a predicted model, not a curated record
ACUCGAGCAACAAGCCAGAGGACAGUGGGGAGGUUUAUUCAAACACUCUGGAUAGUUACCUGAUAUUUACAGUUAACAAAAAUCUCGGCAAAGACUACCAUGGCACAUGUGAUUCAUCUAUCAUUACUGCAGCUAGCAGUGAGCCUGCUGCCCUGUGUUUCAGCACCAGACUUUCCAAAUGGAGAAAUCAAAAUCACUCCCUGUGAUCUGUGCCCUGAUGGAUGGAUUAUUAAACAAAAUUGCAACUGCACAGUUGGCAAAUGGAUUUUGAAAUUUGAAUGUGGUGUGCCCAGUGUUAACCAAGUCACACUGGAAGCCACUAAACUCAGUAACCCUGGGACGAUUUCUGACACAUGUAUUGAAAUCACAUACACAACCAGCAGUUUUCUUUUGUCUAUGCAGGUAGAAGCUGGGUGUGUAAAGAUUUCUGGUGUUAAUAACAUUUGCAGAAGUUGCGACAGGAGAGUUACCUUUAGUCCUCCCAGCAACAAGGCAAUCAACUGUAUUUCAGGAAAAAAGAUACACAUCUCAGUGUCUAAGCCAGAUAAAAAAAAAGUUUUGCAAGAUGUUCAAGAAGUAUACGAUAUCAGUGACUGUAUAGAUG